Molecule: ribosomal RNA, 490 nt
Filed under: uncultured bacterium
Lineage: Bacteria
Description: partial 16S ribosomal RNA
Rfam family: Bacterial small subunit ribosomal RNA
Source: RNAcentral
AUUGAACGCUGGCGGCAUGCCUUACACAUGCAAGUCGAACGGCAGCAUGAUCUAGCUUGCUAGAUUGAUGGCGAGUGGCGAACGGGUGAGUAAUACAUCGGAACGUGCCCUGUAGUGGGGGAUAACUAGUCGAAAGAUUAGCUAAUACCGCAUACGACCUGAGGGUGAAAGUGGGGGACCGCAAGGCCUCAUGCUAUAGGAGCGGCCGAUGUCUGAUUAGCUAGUUGGUGAGGUAAAGGCUCACCAAGGCGACGAUCAGUAGCUGGUCUGAGAGGACGAUCGGCCACACUGGGACUGGGACACGGCCCAGACUCCUACGGGAGGCAGCAGUGGGGAAUUUUGGACAAUGGGCGAAAGCCUGAUCCAGCAAUGCCGCGUGUGUGAAGAAGGCCUUCGGGUUGUAAAGCACUUUUGUCCGGAAAGAAAUGGCUCUGGUUAAUACCUGGGGUCGAUGACGGUACCGGAAGAAUAAGGACCGGCUAACUACGUG